This 246-nucleotide long non-coding RNA is filed under the name Elaeis guineensis (African oil palm). Its description in RNAcentral is "long non-coding RNA (EGUI_LNC061089)". The record is from RNAcentral. Lineage: Eukaryota; Viridiplantae; Streptophyta; Magnoliopsida; Arecales; Arecaceae.
GCCCCCCAUGCCCACUCUCUCUUAUUUCGUGUGACAAAAUCUUCUCUCCCAGACCUUCAUGCAUGCCCAAAGCUUUCCACUCUUUCUCUCUUACAUGGAAUGUGGUUGUGGACCAUGUUAAAGUAGGAAUUAGUUUGGAUUUCAAAUUCUAUGAGAUAGAAUUUUAGAAAACCAAAACUCUUUCCUUAUGACACUGAUUUUAUCUAAAUUUUUUCUAAGAUUUUUAUGAAUUUUAUGGCACAUAUU